CAGUCGAGCGGCAGCGGGAAAGUAGCUUGCUACUUUUGCCGGCGAGCGGCGGACGGGUGAGUAAUGCCUGGGGAUCUGCCCAGUCGAGGGGGAUAACUACUGGAAACGGUAGCUAAUACCGCAUACGCCCUACGGGGGAAAGCAGGGGACCUUCGGGCCUUGCGCGAUUGGAUGAACCCAGGUGGGAUUAGCUAGUUGGUGAGGUAACGGCUCACCAAGGCGACGAUCCCUAGCUGGUCUGAGAGGAUGAUCAGCCACACUGGAACUGAGACACGGUCCAGACUCCUACGGGAGGCAGCAGUGGGGAAUAUUGCACAAUGGGGGAAACCCUGAUGCAGCCAUGCCGCGUGUGUGAAGAAGGCCUUCGGGUUGUAAAGCACUUUCAGCGAGGAGGAGAGGUUGGUAGCUAAUAACUGCCAGCUGUGACGUUACUCGCAGAAGAAGCACCGGCUAACUCCGUGCCAGCAGCCGCGGUAAUACGGAGGGGUGCAGCGUUAUCGGAAUUACU
Molecule: ribosomal RNA, 508 nt
Filed under: Aeromonas sp. CSeC0_40
Lineage: Bacteria; Pseudomonadati; Pseudomonadota; Gammaproteobacteria; Aeromonadales; Aeromonadaceae
Description: bacterial SSU rRNA
Rfam family: Bacterial small subunit ribosomal RNA
Source: RNAcentral